CAGUAGCCACGGUAAUACGAAGGGGGCUAGCGUUGUUCGGAUUUACUGGGCGUAAAGCGCACGUAGGCGGAUCGAUCAGUCAGGGGUGAAAUCCCAGAGCUCAACUCUGGAACUGCCUUUGAUACUGUCGAUCUGGAGUAUGGAAGAGGUGAGUGGAAUUCCGAGUGUAGAGGUGAAAUUCGUAGAUAUUCGGAGGAACACCAGUGGCGAAGGCGGCUCACUGGUCCAUUACCGACGCUGAGGUGCGAAAGCGUGGGGAGCAAACAGGAUUAGAUACCCGAGUAGUCCCUGUCUCUUAUAC
This 301-nucleotide ribosomal RNA is filed under the name uncultured bacterium. Its description in RNAcentral is "partial 16S ribosomal RNA". It matches the Rfam family "Bacterial small subunit ribosomal RNA", at positions 509 to 807 of the family's 1533-position model. The record is from RNAcentral.